GAUGAACGCUAGCUACAGGCUUAACACAUGCAAGUCGAGGGGCAGCAUGGUCUUAGCUUGCUAAGGCCGAUGGCGACCGGCGCACGGGUGAGUAACACGUAUCCAACCUGCCGUCUACUCUUGGACAGCCUUCUGAAAGGAAGAUUAAUACAAGAUGGCAUCAUGAGUUCACAUGUUCACAUGAUUAAAGGUAUUCCGGUAGACGAUGGGGAUGCGUUCCAUUAGGUAGUAGGCGGGGUAACGGCCCACCUAGCCGACGAUGGAUAGGGGUUCUGAGAGGAAGGUCCCCCACAUUGGAACUGAGACACGGUCCAAACUCCUACGGGAGGCAGCAGUGAGGAAUAUUGGUCAAUGGGCGAGAGCCUGAACCAGCCAAGUAGCGUGAAGGAUGAAGGUCCUACGGAUUGUAAACUUCUUUAUACGGGAAUAAAGUAUCCUACGUGUAGGAUUUUGUAUGUACCGUAUGAAUAAGCAUCGGCUAACUCCGUGCCAGCA
This 495-nucleotide ribosomal RNA is filed under the name uncultured bacterium. RNAcentral describes it as "bacterial SSU rRNA". It matches the Rfam family "Bacterial small subunit ribosomal RNA", at positions 28 to 513 of the family's 1533-position model. The record is from RNAcentral.